UACAGAGGGGGCAAGCGUUGCUCGGAAUUACUGGGCGUAAAGGGCGCGUAGGCGGGAUGGCAAGUCGGUCGUGAAAGCCUUCGGCUCAACCGAAGAACGUCGAUCGAUACUGCUGUUCUUGAGGGUUGCAGAGGAGACUGGAAUUCCCGGUGUAGCGGUGAAAUGUGUAGAGAUCGGGAGGAACACCGGUGGCGAAGGCGGGUCUCUGGGCAAUUCCUGACGCUGAGGCGCGAAAGCGUGGGGAGCAAACGGG
This 253-nucleotide ribosomal RNA is filed under the name uncultured bacterium. Its description in RNAcentral is "partial 16S ribosomal RNA". It matches the Rfam family "Bacterial small subunit ribosomal RNA", at positions 524 to 776 of the family's 1533-position model. The record is from RNAcentral.